Non-coding RNA from Dermacentor albipictus, 655 nucleotides. The record is from RefSeq and is a predicted model, not a curated record. NCBI's taxonomy places the organism in Eukaryota, Metazoa, Arthropoda, Arachnida, Ixodida, Ixodidae.
UAGAACAACUCUAGAGGAAAAGCUGGGCCGGAAAAGUGGGAACCUCUAGGGCGCCGCCCUGUUGCUACUGGUCAAUGUGGCCAGCGCAAUUACUAUUGAAAGAGCUGAGAACACGUACAGGUCACCUUAUGCUUUGUCACCUAAAAACGCAUACCUGAUGGCUUUAUGAAGGUGGUACGUUAAUAUUAAGUUUACAGAAAGCGAUCGCUAAGUCCGUGACUUAUGUAAAUCACGAUGUACGCAUUCAUGCAAUAAAGGAUGACGCGAAUUUCGGUUUCGAAUCUGUUUUUUGGAUGCGUAGUAGUUUCGUUUGACAUGCGAUCGCGCGUCGACAUCGGACGCUAUGACACACUCGUGCCUUAUGUGCCACCGAAGCCCCGAAGUGGUCUGGCAUAUACCUUCACAUAUAUGCAAUGGCAAGCCCUUCCGUGUGUUCCAAAGACAAUGCCUACGCCUAGCCACAGCAGCUCCCUCAUACAGACUCCGCAAACCAAGAGACCGUGGAGGCAAAUGCAGGCAGCCAGCACACCUCGAACAGCCACCUUGACUGCGGGUGUGUCACCCUAGUCGCCAAGGAAACAUUUGAGGGAAAGUGACAGGCAAUGUGAACAGCCACUCCUCCAUGUAAACAAUACUCUUUCUCUCGGAUGACUCC